UUGAAGAGUUUGAUCAUGGCUCAGAUUGAACGCUGGCGGCAGGCCUAACACAUGCAAGUCGAGCGGUAGCACAGAGAGCUUGCUCUCGGGUGACGAGCGGCGGACGGGUGAGUAAUGUCUGGGAAACUGCCUGAUGGAGGGGGAUAACUACUGGAAACGGUAGCUAAUACCGCAUAACGUCGCAAGACCAAAGUGGGGGACCUUCGGGCCUCAUGCCAUCAGAUGUGCCCAGAUGGGAUUAGCUAGUAGGUGGGGUAACGGCUCACCUAGGCGACGAUCCCUAGCUGGUCUGAGAGGAUGACCAGCCACACUGGAACUGAGACACGGUCCAGACUCCUACGGGAGGCAGCAGUGGGGAAUAUUGCACAAUGGGCGCAAGCCUGAUGCAGCCAUGCCGCGUGUGUGAAGAAGGCCUUCGGGUUGUAAAGCACUUUCAGCGGGGAGGAAGGCGUUAAGGUUAAUAACCUUGGCGAUUGACGUUACCCGCAGAAGAAGCACCGGCUAACUCCGUGCCAGCAGCCGCGGUAAUACGGAGGGUGCAAGCGUUAAUCGGAAUUACUGGGCGUAAAGCGCACGCAGGCGGUCUGUCAAGUCGGAUGUGAAAUCCCCGGGCUCAACCUGGGAACUGCAUUCGAAACUGGCAGGCUAGAGUCUUGUAGAGGGGGGUAGAAUUCCAGGUGUAGCGGUGAAAUGCGUAGAGAUCUGGAGGAAUACCGGUGGCGAAGGCGGCCCCCUGGACAAAGACUGACGCUCAGGUGCGAAAGCGUGGGGAGCAAACAGGAUUAGAUACCCUGGUAGUCCACGCCGUAAACGAUGUCGAUUUGGAGGUUGUGCCCUUGAGGCGUGGCUUCCGGAGCUAACGCGUUAAAUCGACCGCCUGGGGAGUACGGCCGCAAGGUUAAAACUCAAAUGAAUUGACGGGGGCCCGCACAAGCGGUGGAGCAUGUGGUUUAAUUCGAUGCAACGCGAAGAACCUUACCUGGUCUUGACAUCCACAGAACUUAGCAGAGAUGCUUUGGUGCCUUCGGGAACUGUGAGACAGGUGCUGCAUGGCUGUCGUCAGCUCGUGUUGUGAAAUGUUGGGUUAAGUCCCGCAACGAGCGCAACCCUUAUCCUUUGUUGCCAGCGGUUCGGCCGGGAACUCAAAGGAGACUGCCAGUGAUAAACUGGAGGAAGGUGGGGAUGACGUCAAGUCAUCAUGGCCCUUACGACCAGGGCUACACACGUGCUACAAUGGCAUAUACAAAGAGAAGCGACCUCGCGAGAGCAAGCGGACCUCAUAAAGUAUGUCGUAGUCCGGAUUGGAGUCUGCAACUCGACUCCAUGAAGUCGGAAUCGCUAGUAAUCGUAGAUCAGAAUGCUACGGUGAAUACGUUCCCGGGCCUUGUACACACCGCCCGUCACACCAUGGGAGUGGGUUGCAAAAGAAGUAGGUAGCUUAACCUUCGGGAGGGCGCUUACCACUUUGUGAUUCAUGACUGGGGUGAAGUCGUAACAAGGUAACCGUAGGGGAACCUGCGGUUGGAUCACCUCCUU
This 1536-nucleotide ribosomal RNA is filed under the name Klebsiella pneumoniae. RNAcentral describes it as "bacterial SSU rRNA". It matches the Rfam family "Bacterial small subunit ribosomal RNA". The record is from RNAcentral. Lineage: Bacteria; Pseudomonadati; Pseudomonadota; Gammaproteobacteria; Enterobacterales; Enterobacteriaceae.